Molecule: ribosomal RNA, 450 nt
Filed under: uncultured bacterium
Lineage: Bacteria
Description: partial 16S ribosomal RNA
Rfam family: Bacterial small subunit ribosomal RNA
Source: RNAcentral
GUGGGGAAUCUUCCGCAAUGGACGAAAGUCUGACGGAGCGACGCCGCGUGAGUGAAGAAGGCCUUCGGGUCGUAAAGCUCUGUCAUCAGGGACGAACGGCCGGUGGAGUGGAAAGCCACCGGAUUGACGGUACCUGAGAAGGAAGCCACGGCUAACUACGUGCCAGCAGCCGCGGUAAUACGUAGGUGGCAAGCGUUGUCCGGCAUUAUUGGGCGUAAAGCGCGCGCAGGUGGGAUCUUGAGUCCAUUUUUAAAGUUCGGAGCUCAACUCCGUGAUGGGAUGGAAACUGGGAUUCUUGAGUACCGGAGAGGAAAGCGGAAUUCCCCGUGUAGCGGUGAAAUGCGUAGAUAUGGGGAGGAACACCAGUGGCGAAGGCGGCUUUCUGGACGGUGUCUGACACUGAGGCGCGAAAGCCAGGGGAGCGAACGGGAUUAGAUACCCCUGUAGUCC